Molecule: long non-coding RNA, 302 nt
Filed under: Homo sapiens (human)
Lineage: Eukaryota; Metazoa; Chordata; Mammalia; Primates; Hominidae
Description: HSALNT0346329
Source: RNAcentral
AGGGAGGAAGAAAUGGGAACUGACUGCUUAAUAAGUAUGGGAUUUUUGGUGGGGUGUUGAUGCAAUGUUUUGCAACUAGAUAGGGAUGAUGGCUGGCUGCACAGCAUUCUGAUUGCCAAAAGACUUAAGCUAAGUGUCUCAUGGAGAAGGGAAACAACUAUUAUGAGUCAUCUACACCUUACUGCCAACAAAUCUCAUGUCAUUUCCCGACAAUGGGUUUAGAGGAGAAGAAUGACAUAGCCCAAUGAAGAUAGGAAACUAUUCUGGACUUUGGAAGAAUAUGUAAAAAAAACAAAAAAAAA